UCCCUGGUAGCUCAGCGGUAGAGCGGUCGGCUGUUAACCGAUUGGUCGUAGGUUCGAAUCCUAUCCGGGGAG
This 72-nucleotide transfer RNA is filed under the name Adiantum reniforme var. sinense. Its description in RNAcentral is "tRNA-Asn". It matches the Rfam family "tRNA". From Rfam's summary of the family: Transfer RNA (tRNA) molecules are approximately 80 nucleotides in length. Their secondary structure includes four short double-helical elements and three loops (D, anti-codon, and T loops). Lineage: Eukaryota; Viridiplantae; Streptophyta; Polypodiopsida; Polypodiales; Pteridaceae. The record is from RNAcentral.